CAAAACGUAGGACGCGAGCGUUAUCCGGAUUUACUGGGCGUAAAGCGCGGGCAGGCGGUGGUCCAAGUCGGACGUGAAAGCUCCCGGCUCAACUGGGAGAGGUCGUUCGAAACUGGGCCGCUAGAGGGCAGUAGAGGGGCGUGGAAUUCCGGGUGGAGUGGUGAAAUGCGUAGAGAUCCGGAGGAACACCAGAGGCGAAGGCGGCGCCCUGGGCUGCACCUGACGCUGAGCCGCGAAAGCUAGGGGAGCGAACGGGAUUAGAAACCCCGGUAGUCCUAGCCGUAAACGAUGUCCACUAGAUGUCUGGGCGGAGCGCCUGGGCGUCGCAGCUAACGCGUUAAGUGGACCGCCUGGGGAGUACGGCCGCAAGGCUAAAACUCAAAGGAAUUGACGGGGGCCCGCAC
RNAcentral lists this ribosomal RNA (404 nucleotides) under uncultured Chloroflexota bacterium. Its description in RNAcentral is "bacterial SSU rRNA". It matches the Rfam family "Bacterial small subunit ribosomal RNA", at positions 521 to 926 of the family's 1533-position model. Lineage: Bacteria; Bacillati; Chloroflexota. The record is from RNAcentral.